RNA transcript from Papilio polytes (common Mormon), 1973 nucleotides. It is a transcript of the gene named translin-associated factor X-interacting protein 1-like, with no coding region annotated. The transcript is spliced from 4 exons. The record is from RefSeq and is a predicted model, not a curated record. NCBI's taxonomy places the organism in Eukaryota, Metazoa, Arthropoda, Insecta, Lepidoptera, Papilionidae.
AGAUAGACGUCAAAAUUAAAAGUGAUCUAUUAAAUUAAAUUGGCUCAACUAUAAGUUGUUUUAUAUUAUAUGAUAUAUGUAAAUAAAAUACAAACAAGUGCUUUGUGAAAUUGCGCUCGCAUAUAUUUUAUAUAGGUACUAUUUAUAGAUUUUAUACAUAUUAUCUAUCAGUACCUAUGUUACGCCGUCUUUCAAGAGUUCAAAUAAGCAAAUAGCGUAAUUGCGUAUAGGAGUUAGGGGUUAACUUUUAGAAAACAUGAAGUUAAAUGGAAAUAAGGUGUUAGUACUCGAUGGUGGUUUCUCGUCACAGAUUUCAUGUCACGUUGGCACCAACGCAGAUGGCGAUCCACUGUGGAGUGCAAAAUUCUUGAAAACAAACGCUGAAGAUGUGUACCAAACUCAUUUGGAUUAUCUUCGCGCCGGUGCUGACGUAAUAACCACCAACACUUACCAAGCAUCUGUAGGAGGUUUUGUGAAACAUCUUGGCGUAUCUACAGAAGAAGCGACGGAACUGAUUAGACUAGCUGUGAAAUUGGCGAGGCGUGCUUGUGAUACUUACUUAGAGGAAAACAGUCAACCAUUGUCGAACCCAAGUCCACUCAUAGCGGGUUCAGUAGGUCCCUACGGUGCACAUUUAAAUGACGGGUCCGAAUAUCGUGGCAAUUAUGCAGAUAUAGUAUCUAGUGAGACAAUACGAGAAUGGCAUAUUCCUCGUAUAAAUGCUUUGUUAGAAGCAGGUGUGGAUUUACUUGCUAUAGAGACAAUACCAUGUCUUAAAGAGGCCCAAGUACUUGUUGAGCUGUUGAAGGAAUACCCCAAAGCCAAAGCUUGGCUUUCAUUCAGUUGUAGCGAUGAUAAAAGACUUGCUCAUGGGGAGGAUUUUGAAAUGGCUGCAGUACAAUGCUGGCAGGCUAACCCUACUCAACUGAUAGCUGUAGGAGUUAAUUGUUGCCCCCCUAAUAUUGUCUCAAACCUUGUAAAGAGCAUAAAUAAAAACAGAGAAGAACCCAUUCCCUUUGUGACAUAUCCUAACUCUGGAGAGAAAUAUAUCCCAGAUAUGGGAUGGACAGACAAAGAUAAAAGUGAAUCCAUUGAUAAAUUUGUCCACGAGUGGCUCAAGCUUGGUGUACAGUACAUUGGGGGAUGCUGUCGAACAUAUCAAGAUGAUAUUUCUCAAAUUAGGAAACUAGUGAAUUUGUCAUUUUAAUUGAUCACCAAUUUGUUUACUUUUAGUAACACUAAGAAUUAAUUUUAAAAAAAUUAUAUAUAAAACAUAUAGUAAACAAGUAAUGAAUAACAAAUAUGGGUAUAAAAUUACAUUAAAAUAUUUGGAAUAUCAUUAAGAAAGAGAGAGAGAGAUGAUGAAGUUGAAAAACUUUCUAAUGAAAAUGCAGAAAUAAAAAAUGGCAAUCUCAAAUUAAAUAUAGAAAUGAUGAGACUGAAAAAGACUAUUAGUGAGUUGCAACAAGAAAAAUUCUCCGACUACGUGACGUUAAUGAAAGAGAGGGACGGCCGCUACUCGCUGUACCAUCAGAAAUUGCAAUUGGAAGAGCAAGUGAGGCAGCUGACGCGCAGCCCCGCCAGCGACCGCCAAGAGGAGGACCCCUUGCUGCUGCGCCUCGCGCUCCGCUGCUGCAGGGAGCAGCUGGCGGCGGCGCAGCGCGAGCUGGCGCGGCUGGCUGACGAGUGCGCCGACACCGUGCCGCGCCGCGACUACGACGCGCUGGAAGCCCGCGAGCGUCUCCUCCGCAGGGACCUCGAACAGACCGCCAAGGAGUACCGCGCCCUCGAGAACUGCUACAAUCGCGCACAAGGUACGCGCGUAUAAACUCACCAACUAGUAGAACCGGACUGUUGACUGGACGAGCUGCUUAACUCCAUAAAGAAGAGAAGAAAACGAAAAAGCCAUGGUACGGUGUUCGCAGAGUUUUGUAUCGUAACCAGGAUUUACCUGAUAAAACGUUUUACUAAGG